GGACUACCGGGGUAUCUAAUCCUGUUUGAUCCCCACGCUUUCGUGCCUCAGCGUCAGUUACAGUUUCGUCAGCUGCCUUCGCAAUCGGUGUUCUGUGUCAUAUCUAUGCAUUUCACCGCUACAUGACACAUUCCGCCAACGGCAUCUGUACUCAAGACCUACAGUAUCAAUGGCACGUUCGUUGUUAAGCAACGAGAUUUCACCACUGACUUAUAAGUCCGCCUACGCACCCUUUAAACCCAAUAAAUCCGGAUAACGCUUGCAUCCUUCGUAUUACCGCGGCUGCUGGCAC
Molecule: ribosomal RNA, 292 nt
Filed under: uncultured Bacteroidota bacterium
Lineage: Bacteria; Pseudomonadati; Bacteroidota
Description: uncultured Bacteroidetes bacterium partial 16S ribosomal RNA
Source: RNAcentral